RNAcentral lists this ribosomal RNA (706 nucleotides) under uncultured bacterium. Its description in RNAcentral is "bacterial SSU rRNA". It matches the Rfam family "Bacterial small subunit ribosomal RNA", at positions 47 to 784 of the family's 1533-position model. The record is from RNAcentral.
CCUAAUAUAUGCAAGUCGAACUAUACAGCCACCUUCGGGUGGUGGGAAGUGGCAGACGGGUGAGUAACGCGUGGGAACGUGCCUUUCGGUUCGGAAUAACCCAGGGAAACUUGGGCUAACAGACGGAUACGCCCUUCGGGGGAAAGAUUACGGGGCCGAAAGAUCGGCCCGCGUCGGAUUAGCUUGUUGGUGGGGUAAUGGCUCACCAAGGCGACGAUCCAUAGCUGGUCUUAUACGGAUGACCAGCCACACUGGGACUGAGGAACGAGCUGGAGCCUACGGGAGGCAGCAGUGGGGAAUAUUGGGAAAUGGGCGAAAGCCUGAUCCAGCCAUGCCGCGUGGGUGAAGAAGGCCUUAGGGUUGUAAACCCCUUUCAGCGGGGAAGAUAAUGACGGUACCCGCAGAAGAAGUCCCGGCUAACUCCGUGCCAGCAGCCGCGGUAACAGAGGAGGGGACUAGCGUUGUUCGGAAUUACUGGGCGUAAAGCGCACGUAGGCGGAUUUGUAAGUCAGGGGUGAAAUCCCGGGGCUCAACCUCGGAACUGCCUUUGGAAGAUGCAAAUCUCGAGUCCGGAAGAGGUGAGUGGAAUUCCUAGUGUAGAGGUGAAAUUCGUAGAUAUUAGGAAGAACACCAGUGGCGAAGGCGGCUCACUGGUCCGGUACUGACGCUGAGGUGCGAAAGCGUGGGGAGCAAACAGGAUUAGGAA